UACAGAGGGUGCGAGCGUUAAUCGGAAUUACUGGGCGUAAAGCGCGCGUAGGUGGUUUUAUAAGUCGGGUGUGAAAGCCCCGGGCUCAACCUGGGAACUGCAUUCGAGACUGUAAGACUAGAGUAUGGGAGAGGGCAGUGGAAUUUCCGGUGUAGCGGUGAAAUGCGUAGAUAUCGGAAGGAACAUCAGUGGCGAAAGCGACUGCCUGGCCCAAUACUGACACUCAUGUGCGAAAGCGUGGGGAGCAAACAGG
This 253-nucleotide ribosomal RNA is filed under the name uncultured bacterium. RNAcentral describes it as "partial 16S ribosomal RNA". It matches the Rfam family "Bacterial small subunit ribosomal RNA", at positions 524 to 776 of the family's 1533-position model. The record is from RNAcentral.